This 465-nucleotide ribosomal RNA is filed under the name uncultured bacterium. RNAcentral's name for it is "partial 16S ribosomal RNA". It matches the Rfam family "Bacterial small subunit ribosomal RNA", at positions 28 to 507 of the family's 1533-position model. The record is from RNAcentral.
GAUGAACGCUGGCGGCGUGCUUAACACAUGCAAGUCGAACGGAAAGGCUCCUGCUUGCAGGGGUACUCGAGUGGCGGACGGGUGAGUAACACGUGGGUGAUCUGCCCUGCACUUCGGGAUAAGCCUGGGAAACUGGGUCUAAUACCGGAUAGGACGAUGGUUUGGAUGCCAUUGUGGAAAGUUUUUCGGUGUGGGAUGAGCUCGCGGCCUAUCAGCUUGUUGGUGGGGUAAUGGCCUACCACGGCGUCGACGGGUGGCCGGCCUGAGAGGGUGUACGGCGACCUUGGGACUGAGAUACGGCCCAGACUCCUACGGGAGGCAGCAGUGGGGAAUAUUGCACAAUGGGCGCAAGCCUGAUGCAGCGACGCCGCGUGGGGGAUGACGGCCUUCGGGUUGUAAACUCCUUUCGCUAGGGACGAAGCGCAAGUGACGGUACCUGGAGAAGAAGCACCGGCUAACUACGUG